UUUGGCUGCCAUCGGACCUGGU
This 22-nucleotide microRNA is filed under the name Gallus gallus (chicken). RNAcentral describes it as "gga-miR-6659-3p". Lineage: Eukaryota; Metazoa; Chordata; Aves; Galliformes; Phasianidae. The record is from miRBase by way of RNAcentral.